CGGGGCCGGCAUGUGUAGUAUAAAUAGUUAACUUUGAAACUGCGAAUGGCUCAUUAUAUCAGUUAUAGUUUAUUUGAUGAAGAAUACUAAUUGGAUAACCGUAGUAAUUCUAGAGCUAAUACAUGUAUAAAGUCUUGUAGACUGCAUUUAUUAGAAUGAAAACCAUAGGUUUCGGCCUAUUCGUGAGUAAUAAUAACUAAUCAUAUCGUAUGCUUAUGUAACGAUGUGUCUUUCAAGUUUCUGCCCUAUCAGCUUUCGAUGGUAGUGUAUUGGACUACCAUGGCAGUAACGGGUAACGAAGAA
RNAcentral lists this ribosomal RNA (303 nucleotides) under Blastocystis sp. subtype 7. RNAcentral's name for it is "bacterial SSU rRNA". It matches the Rfam family "Eukaryotic small subunit ribosomal RNA", at positions 53 to 369 of the family's 1831-position model. Lineage: Eukaryota; Bigyra; Opalinata; Blastocystidae. The record is from RNAcentral.